Molecule: unclassified non-coding RNA, 352 nt
Filed under: soil metagenome
Description: partial contains 5.8S ribosomal RNA, internal transcribed spacer 2, and large subunit ribosomal RNA
Rfam family: 5.8S ribosomal RNA (bases 1-120)
Source: RNAcentral
GAUGAAGAACGCAGCGAAAUGCGAUAAGUAAUGUGAAUUGCAGAAUUCAGUGAAUCAUCGAAUCUUUGAACGCACAUUGCGCCCGCCAGUAUUCUGGCGGGCAUGCCUGUUCGAGCGUCAUUUCAACCCUCAGGCCCCCAGUGCCUGGUGUUGGGGAUCGGCCCAGCCUUCCUGUAAGGCCGCCGGCCCCGAAAUCUAGUGGCGGUCUCGCUGUAGUCCUCCUCUGCGUAGUAGCACAACCUCGCAGUUGGAACGCGGCGGUGGCCAUGCCGUUAAACACUCCACUUCUGAAAGUUGACCUCGGAUCAGGUAGGAAUACCCGCUGAACUUAAGCAUAUCAAUAAGCGGAGGA